Long non-coding RNA from Thunnus maccoyii (southern bluefin tuna), 420 nucleotides. RefSeq lists it as uncharacterized. The transcript is spliced from 3 exons. NCBI's taxonomy places the organism in Eukaryota, Metazoa, Chordata, Actinopteri, Scombriformes, Scombridae. The record is from RefSeq and is a predicted model, not a curated record.
UGGAACACCUCAACCUGCUCUGUGUGUGUGUGUGGUCCAGGUCUUUCUCAUGUUGUGGGUGUCGGGGGGUGACAAGGCAUGUCAAUCACAACCUGAGCUGGUCAGUUUGUAACUCUUUGCCGACUUAAGAAGUGGCCAGAGAUCCCUGAUGGGCCGUAAAUCACAAUAACUGCUUCAACUUUGGGUUGACAGGGAGUGGAGUGUCGGGAGUCAGCACGAGCUGAGCCACAGACGGGGCUCCUGGACCAUCACUGAGACAACACCCCCACUAUAGGACGGACUCAGGAUUGGACUGAGUAUUACACUCAUGUUGAAAGUUUAGUACUGGAAAACUGGACUGAGUUGUAGGGGAAGAAAUUGGAUUAUUGUUUAAUCUUCUUGUUUUUACUGCCUAUUUUAUUUUAUUGUUUUAUUGUUUUA